UUAUACCACACAUUUAAUGUGGAUAAAUCCAAGUCCAGAUAACUACUCCAAAUCCCAAUUUCUUUCCAUUUUACAGUUCCCAUUACCAAUUUCCUUGUCUCUCCAUUUGACAUCAGCACCAGCAUCAUCAAUUUCCCAAAUUUGCAAUGUCCAAAACACCCUUAUCAUUCAUUCAUCUCUUCCUCCAUUGACCACUUCUCAACUUUGGUGUUUCCUCAUUUUUUCUUUCUUCAAACCGUUAUUAGGGUUUUCUUCACUUCUCCAUUUUUCCCUCUUUCACACUUUCCACCAAGAUCCCACUUGGACUUUUUUUCAUACCCUUUUCAUAAACAAGUCUUACUCUCUCUAAAAGCUUCAAUUUUUCACACAACCCCUUUUUUUGGGGCUUUUUCAAUUUUCUUUCUUUUGGGAUAAUUGGGUCAGUUUCGUCUUAAAGUUUGGAUUUUUCGAUCUGAUCCAGUUACGUUUGUGCUCAAUUGUCUCUAGCUGGUUCGAGUUGUUUCCAAUUUUGGGUCAAGUUUGGAAGAAAAAAAGGGUAUGUAAUUUACCUCUUAUUUAGGUUCUAGGGUUAAUUUUGGUGCUGUUGAAGGAAUUGAUUUGCUUGUUGUCUGUAUUUGUGAUAAAGGGUUGCUGUUGAAUUGAGAUUUGAAUCUGGAAUUUUGGAUUUUGUUGCUAGUUUAUGAUUUUGUUGACUUAAGGGAUGCUUAGAUUAUUUCUCAAGAUUGGUUUUUUAAGGUAGUUAGUGUAUUAGAAUUGUUUGAAGUUGAAUAGGUUAUUUAGGUUGAUUUAGUGGAUUUUGAAGUUUUUUGUGUUGUUGGAAGCUCUGUGUGAAUUGUUUUGGUUUGUUGAAAGAGAAAAUAAGU
RNAcentral lists this long non-coding RNA (863 nucleotides) under Trifolium pratense (red clover). RNAcentral describes it as "long non-coding RNA (TPRA_LNC008377)". The record is from RNAcentral. Lineage: Eukaryota; Viridiplantae; Streptophyta; Magnoliopsida; Fabales; Fabaceae.